UGCACUACACAGUCAUUUUGUUAUUCAAUAAACGGCCUAUUUCUUUCGAUUACUAUCGCAAUUUAUCAAAACUGAUAGCAUGCCUUUGAUUAAAUAUAUAUAAACCAAUGCAUGGCCGCACGAAAUAUGGCAGGCCCAAAAUAGCAUCUUUUCAGUAAACAUUCAUUUAAACUCACUUUUCAAAUAUGAUGACAUUCCAGAUUUUCGUUGAAUCCAGUUCAUGAUCAUCAAACUAUCGCUAUCAAAAGAAGAAAAGAACCAUUUCAGCUGCAUGUAUUUAAUCAAGUUACGGUCAUUUGUCAAUCUUGAAGUCAUUGGGAUCAUCAGAAUGAGUAUCGCUGACUUCUUCUGGUAUUUGAGCCAAUGGAGUUUCUUGAGAAAAAAAAUCAAAAAUCAUUGGUGUAAGAAAUUUGUAGUCUAGAUUUUUCAAACAAUUAAUUGAUUAUAACUAAGGUAUGACGUACUUAUUAAACAUCAAAUUUGAAAAUCAUAAUUUAAAACUAGGGAUCCAAAAAUAGUGCAAAGUUUAAUAAACACAGUGUAGAUGUCUGUUG
This is a long non-coding RNA of Xenia sp. Carnegie-2017, 554 nucleotides long. RefSeq lists it as uncharacterized. The record is from RefSeq and is a predicted model, not a curated record. The transcript has 2 exons. Lineage: Eukaryota; Metazoa; Cnidaria; Anthozoa; Malacalcyonacea; Xeniidae.